Long non-coding RNA from Schistocerca gregaria, 315 nucleotides. RefSeq lists it as uncharacterized. The record is from RefSeq and is a predicted model, not a curated record. Lineage: Eukaryota; Metazoa; Arthropoda; Insecta; Orthoptera; Acrididae. The transcript has 3 exons.
ACCAUGGUUUGACAGUUUCAGUGCGAGAAGCUAAUAAUAGAGACACACAAGAUCAUGGUAUAGAAGGAAGUAAUACCAAGACUGGGCCCCAAUCUGAUUUGGUGGGCACCUCAGAUGGACACUAUUGCUCUCCCACUUCUGGUCAUGCAAUGUACCAAAGGGAACCCUUGGAAAUGCAAAGUAACAAUAAUACAGAAUUUACAGUCCAAGAAGAACCCCAGACAAACCAGAGUUGGACAGAGUUAGUACCAGUACCUUAUAGUGAAUAUGGACGAUAUUAUGAUGCAGCGGGAAAUCUUUCAGGUGGAUAUAAAA